GUGGUUGUGGUUCAGUGGUAGAGCACUUGCCUAACAUGCGUGAAUCACUGGGUUCGAUCCCCGGAACCACA
RNAcentral lists this transfer RNA (71 nucleotides) under Marmota monax (woodchuck). It matches the Rfam family "tRNA". Rfam says of the family: Transfer RNA (tRNA) molecules are approximately 80 nucleotides in length. Their secondary structure includes four short double-helical elements and three loops (D, anti-codon, and T loops). Lineage: Eukaryota; Metazoa; Chordata; Mammalia; Rodentia; Sciuridae. The record is from Rfam by way of RNAcentral.